AGUGGCAAACGGGUGAGUAACACGUGGGUGACCUGCCUUCGAGUGGGGGAUAACGUCCCGAAAGGGACGCUAAUACCGCAUGACAUCCUGCUCUUGGACGAGCGGAGAUCAAAGCUGGGGAUCGCAAGACCUGGCGCUUGAAGAGGGGCCCGCGUCUGAUUAGCUAGUUGGUGAGGUAACGGCUCACCAAGGCGACGAUCAGUAUCCGGCCUGAGAGGGCGGACGGACACACUGGGACUGAGACACGGCCCAGACUCCUACGGGAGGCAGCAGUGGGGAAUUGUUCGCAAUGGGCGCAAGCCUGACGACGCAACGCCGCGUGGAGGAUGAAGAUCUUCGGGUCGUAAACUCCUGUCGAAUGGGACGAAUGGGUUGCGGGUUAACAGCCCGUGACCGUGACGGUACCGUUAAAGGAAACCCCGGCUAACUCCGUGCCAGCAGCCGCGGUAAUACGGGGGGGGUAAGCGUUGUUCGGAAUUACUGGGCGUAAAGGGCUCGUAGGCGGCCAACUAAGUCAGACGUGAAAUCCCUCAGCUUAACUGGGGAACUGCGUCUGAUACUG
Molecule: ribosomal RNA, 562 nt
Filed under: uncultured bacterium
Lineage: Bacteria
Description: bacterial SSU rRNA
Rfam family: Bacterial small subunit ribosomal RNA
Source: RNAcentral